GCGCGUCACCCUGGAGACUCUUUGGAAAGAGCCACCGCUUGGCAAAAAGAAGAAGAAAGAGCGAACAGAGAGCAACGACACGACCAGCUGAGACGGCUAGAAGAAACACACCUCUCUCUCUCUGACUCUCACCUUCCAGUGACACACACUCACACCUGUACGUCUCCUGUAGAUGAAGUCUUUGCGUUAUUCACACACAACCAAACUCAAGUUAUAUAUCCCAGAAACUUCGGGGUGCAAGUCUGUUGACUGUGUGCAUUGUUUCUGAAACUC
Siniperca chuatsi (mandarin fish) is the source of this 273-nucleotide long non-coding RNA. RefSeq lists it as uncharacterized. The record is from RefSeq and is a predicted model, not a curated record. The transcript is spliced from 2 exons. NCBI's taxonomy places the organism in Eukaryota, Metazoa, Chordata, Actinopteri, Centrarchiformes, Sinipercidae.